CAGACGGGUGAGUAACGCGUGGGGAUGUGCCUAGAGGUGGGGAAUAACUGUGGGAAACUACAGCUAAUACCGCAUAAGCCCUUCGGGGGAAAGAUUUAUCGCCUUUAGAUCAACCCGCGUCAGAUUAGCUAGUUGGUAGGGUAAUGGCCUACCAAGGCGACGAUCUGUAGCUGGUCUGAGAGGAUGAUCAGCCACACUGGGACUGAGACACGGCCCAGACUCCUACGGGAGGCAGCAGUGGGGAAUAUUGGACAAUGGGCGCAAGCCUGAUCCAGCCAUGCCGCGUGAGUGAUGACGGCCUUAGGGUUGUAAAGCUCUUUUAACAGGGACGAUAAUGACGGUACCUGUAGAAUAAGCCCCGGCUAACUUCGUGCCAGCAGCCGCGGUAAUACGAAGGGGGCUAGCGUUGUUCGGAAUCACUGGGCGUAAAGCGCACGUAGGCGGAUUGUUAAGUCGGGGGUGAAAUCCUGAGGCUCAACCUCAGAACUGCCUUCGAUACUGGCGAUCUUGAGUUCGGAAGAGGUUGGUGGAACAGCUAGUGUAGAGGUGAAAUUCGUAGAUAUUAGCUAGAACACCAGUGGCGAAGGCGGCCAACUGGUCCGAUACUGACGC
Molecule: ribosomal RNA, 612 nt
Filed under: Labrys sp. (in: a-proteobacteria)
Lineage: Bacteria; Pseudomonadati; Pseudomonadota; Alphaproteobacteria; Hyphomicrobiales; Xanthobacteraceae
Description: bacterial SSU rRNA
Rfam family: Bacterial small subunit ribosomal RNA
Source: RNAcentral